Molecule: non-coding RNA, 566 nt
Organism: Macaca mulatta (Rhesus monkey)
Lineage: Eukaryota; Metazoa; Chordata; Mammalia; Primates; Cercopithecidae
Source: RefSeq, a predicted model, not a curated record
AAACUAUUUAGCUCAUAAGAUGAAGAGACUGUGUUAAAAAGGAAACAGAAAAGUGAUGGGAUACCUUGCUGGCACCUUUCCAGAUACUGCCAGGGCAAAGGUAUACCUGUUCAAAGAAGAGAGAGACACCAGAGAAGAAGAAAAGCAAAAGUGAAAGAGCAUUUCCUAAUAUCCAGAGUGAAGCUAGUCCGGGCUUCACAUUCAUGGCUUUCAAAGGUUGCAACCUCAAAUUAGUAGGAACGGCCUCCACACCUGUGUUCCUUCACCAAAUGGAGAACUUCAAAAUCACCUGAAAGAAAUGGAAAAGAAUGUAUUCGCAAGAUCAGGGGACACAUUUCAUGUUCCGUGGCAGCAUGAACCUGUUCUAGCAAAGAUACCACAUCUGGCACAACAGCUGCAAUCGAAACAAGUACUUGUUCAAGUUUAUGAGAGUCCACUGUCACCCUCCAAGACCUGUCUGCUUUUCCAGUGCAAUCGUGGUGUGUUAAAUGGUAGAUUAACAGGAUCAGCCCUGGCCGGGCGCAGUGGCUCAUGCCUGUAAUCCCAGCACUUUGGGCGGCCAAGGC